This 457-nucleotide ribosomal RNA is filed under the name Enterococcus faecalis. RNAcentral's name for it is "bacterial SSU rRNA". It matches the Rfam family "Bacterial small subunit ribosomal RNA", at positions 39 to 474 of the family's 1533-position model. Lineage: Bacteria; Bacillati; Bacillota; Bacilli; Lactobacillales; Enterococcaceae. The record is from RNAcentral.
GCGGCGUGCCUAAUACAUGCAAGUCGAACGCUUCUUUCCUCCCGAGUGCUUGCACUCAAUUGGAAAGAGGAGUGGCGGACGGGUGAGUAACACGUGGGUAACCUACCCAUCAGAGGGGGAUAACACUUGGAAACAGGUGCUAAUACCGCAUAACAGUUUAUGCCGCAUGGCAUAAGAGUGAAAGGCGCUUUCGGGUGUCGCUGAUGGAUGGACCCGCGGUGCAUUAGCUAGUUGGUGAGGUAACGGCUCACCAAGGCCACGAUGCAUAGCCGACCUGAGAGGGUGAUCGGCCACACUGGGACUGAGACACGGCCCAGACUCCUACGGGAGGCAGCAGUAGGGAAUCUUCGGCAAUGGACGAAAGUCUGACCGAGCAACGCCGCGUGAGUGAAGAAGGUUUUCGGAUCGUAAAACUCUGUUGUUAGAGAAGAACAAGGACGUUAGUAACUGAACGUCC